GGGGGGUUAAAAGCUCCGGCGGUGAAGGAUGAGCCCGCGGCCUAUCAGCUUGUUGGUGGGGUGAUGGCCUACCAAGGCGACGACGGGUAGCCGGCCUGAGAGGGCGACCGGCCACACUGGGACUGAGACACGGCCCAGACUCCUACGGGAGGCAGCAGUGGGGAAUAUUGCACAAUGGGCGAAAGCCUGAUGCAGCGACGCCGCGUGAGGGAUGACGGCCUUCGGGUUGUAAACCUCUUUCAGCAGGGAAGAAGCGAAAGUGACGGUACCUGCAGAAGAAGCGCCGGCUAACUACGUGCCAGCAGCCGCGGUAAUACGUAGGGCGCAAGCGUUGUCCGGAAUUAUUGGGCGUAAAGAGCUCGUAGGCGGCUUGUCACGUCGGAUGUGAAAGCCCGGGGCUUAACCCCGGGUCUGCAUUCGAUACGGGCUAGCUAGAGUGUGGUAGGGGAGAUCGGAAUUCCUGGUGUAGCGGUGAAAUGCGCAGAUAUCAGGAGGAACACCGGUGGCGAAGGCGGAUCUCUGGGCCAUUACUGACGCUGAGGAGCGAAAGCGUGGGGAGCGAACAGGAUUAGAUACCCUGGUAGUCCACGCCGUAAACGUUGGGAACUAGGUGUUGGCGACAUUCCACGUCGUCGGUGCCGCAGCUAACGCAUUAAGUUCCCCGCCUGGGGAGUACGGCCG
RNAcentral lists this ribosomal RNA (681 nucleotides) under Streptomyces mauvecolor. RNAcentral's name for it is "bacterial SSU rRNA". It matches the Rfam family "Bacterial small subunit ribosomal RNA", at positions 194 to 888 of the family's 1533-position model. Lineage: Bacteria; Bacillati; Actinomycetota; Actinomycetes; Kitasatosporales; Streptomycetaceae. The record is from RNAcentral.